Molecule: long non-coding RNA, 1864 nt
Organism: Pelodiscus sinensis (Chinese soft-shelled turtle)
Lineage: Eukaryota; Metazoa; Chordata; Testudines; Trionychidae
Source: RefSeq, a predicted model, not a curated record
AAUGGAGAGGUACUCAGUGAGGAGAAAGCCUAAGGAGGCACUGGGUGGGGAAGGAGUGAAUCACAGGGAAGAGAAGAAAGCAGAAAGUGCAGGAGAUGGAAUGAUAACUCAAGAGAGAACAUGAGAUAGUCAUCAAAUGGAGUAGGAAUGGCUGCUGAUUUUACCAACAAGCUGGCCAGAGAGGUCAUGCAGGGAAACUGUUUUCACCUUCUAAAAAUCACUUCUGAAAAGAAAAUCUUUAAGAGGUUUCACACAGAAAAAACAAAGGCAUAGAAACCAUCAAGAGCAUUUAUAUAUGAAACUGAUUAUCUCCAUCUGCAGAAAAUAUUUUGAAUGAAAUUCUUUAAUAAAAUUCACCUUAAUGAGUUCAAAGAUUUAGAACAACUUGCUCUCUGUAUUUUACCCUCAGUUUUAUUUUUUAAAUGUAGUUCUGCUUUAGCAUGUCUCUUUGUUUCUUCCCUCCUCUUUCAACAACAAGAAAUUGUUCGAAAUCUCAAUACUACAGUACAUUGCACAAAUUGUUCCCUUUUUUGUGUCAAAUCUUUGAACAGAGGCUUUCUACAUGGGAAAGAGAGAAAGGGAGAACAAUUUACCUCCUAAAAGCACAUUUAUGGAAUUUUUCUUUCACAAGGCAUCCAUCUCCCCCAUUAGAGUGAUUAAAAUCAUUUUCAUGUAAUGCCAACAGGAGGAUCAUUGCUUUCCGUCAAAGAACUAUUGUAAACACUUAAUCCAUUUUGUUUAUAUUAUUCCCACUGUAUAAGGUCUCUUUUAUAAUAAUAUCUCUGUCUCUGGGCUGGUAUUGUUAUGCUCCAAACCUUUAUAGAUAGAGCUUUCAUCUUUUUCCAGUGUUUGUUUUAGAAAGGGAUUAUAAUUGAUGUUGAGUAGGUAGCCCUGAGUGCUAAAGCAACAAGGUUAUCAGAACCCCAGCCCUUCCCCACACAAUCAGUUAUUUUGCCUUGUUAAUUCAAAUUCUUCUUAGCCUGACUUCUGCCCUUUUUCACAUGAGAGACAAGUUAAUGCAGGAGUUUCUUCAAAGCUUGCUUCUAGAUAUAACACUUCUGUCAUUAGCUUAUGAAAUUAUGGAUUACUUCAAGAGCAAUUUCUUCAGAAUCUCCUGUUUUACUGGUUACCUCAGUCUCACACGGCCAUGCCACAGUCAUGAAUUAUUCUGAGAUUAGAGUGGCAAAACAAAUUUAGGAACAUAGAAAUUUCUGUUAGAGCUAAGUGAGUAACUGAUUGUUUUUAUGUGCUGUCAGUUCUGAAAAAUUUAAAGUGAAAAAAAUCCCAAAAUAUGCACUGCAAAAGAAAGCAUAAGGAUGCUGAUCCAACCAAAUGCUGAAUGCUCCCCCUUUCUUGUUGAUUUCAUUGAGAACAGGUCAUUUGCUCUUUAACUGCUAUUGAAUUCAAACAAAUUAUUACAUUAACAUUUGGUCAUCAUUACCAGCUGCUUCUUAUCUUUUAUCCAGUGUGAUGGGUUUUAGAUCUCUCACUGUGCUUACCAAAGUUUCAUGAAUUGCCUCACAAUGCAGGGUUUGUGCCUGAGAAUCUCAUUUGCAUCUGUGAGGUGUCUUGAAGGUUCUGCUAGUUUUUUUAUACUUUUAAAAAGUUAAUGUACAGUUUCUUCCAUAAAUAGCCAUAUGGUUUUGUUAUCCCCAGCAAGAUUUGCUGUUUCAGGGGUUACAAACUGUCUUCUUCAGUGAUGACACCAAAGGAUAUCUUUGACAGCUAAUGUAUUACAUUGCAACAGCCAGGGGAGGAUUGGAAUUCAUCCUUGUAGCCAUACAUAGGCACUAAAAAGAACUUGUGCUGUGGCAACCUUUCAGAAGUGGCGUGCCAAGAUUCAAUUUAUUCACUGUUCUGUGUG